Molecule: ribosomal RNA, 522 nt
Filed under: Sanguinoderma rude
Lineage: Eukaryota; Fungi; Basidiomycota; Agaricomycetes; Polyporales; Polyporaceae
Description: SSU rRNA
Rfam family: Bacterial small subunit ribosomal RNA
Source: RNAcentral
UAACUGAAUCAUAGAAUUUCUUUAAAUUCAUGAUGUCGUAAGGGAAAAUAAUGAUAUUACCUUACUAUGAGUGUCGUCCAAAACUGGUGCCAGAAGACUCGGUAAUACCAGAGACGCAAACGUUAAUCAUCAUAAACAGGCGUAAAGGGUUUGUAGGCAGCUUUCAUAAGAUUAUUUCUUACACAAAUAAAUAAGUGGUCUGAUUGAAAGCUAGAAUCAAAAAGAGGUUAUAGUGUAUAACGCCUAGAGGAGGGCUGAUAUCCUUAGAUCCUAGGCAGAAUACUUAGGGCGAAGGCCACUCUCCACUAAUGAUUGACGCUGAGAAACGAAGGUAAGGGUAGGAAAUAGGAUUAGAUACCCCGGUACUCCUUUCUGUAAACGAUGAAUGGUAGUCAUUAGUAAAAUUAAAAUUAGAGACGAAGUUAACACAAUAACCAUUCCGCCUUGUGAGUACUACUGCAAAGUAGAAAACAAAAAAAUUAGUCGGUCUCGAAGCAAACGGAGUGAAGCAUGUUAUUUAAU